RNAcentral lists this ribosomal RNA (2961 nucleotides) under Triticum aestivum (bread wheat). RNAcentral's name for it is "partial small subunit ribosomal RNA". Lineage: Eukaryota; Viridiplantae; Streptophyta; Magnoliopsida; Poales; Poaceae. The record is from RNAcentral.
AUGCUCUCGCUGCGUAGCGACGCGCGCCACCUGGCGGCGCCGGUGGUGCGCGGCGGGGACGACGUAUGGCUCGGGGUCAGCGGCGGCGCGGGGCCGGCUCCCGAGGGGCCAGCGCCAGCGGCGGCUUUCCUGCUUCCCCCUGUGUCCUUGGACGCGAGGGCCAAGCAGCUCGUCGGGGUUAAUGAAGAGGACCACCUGAUUCUUGCACAUCAGAGCUACAAAUCAGGAAAAUAUAGUCAGGCACUGGAGCAUGGAAAUGCUGUUUACGAGAAGAAUCCACGUCGAACUGAUAAUCUACUUCUCCUUGGGGCUAUUUAUUUCCAGCUUCGUGAUUAUGAUCUUUGCAUCGCAAAGAAUGAAGAGGCUCUUGCCAUUGACCCUCAAUUUGCAGAGUGCUAUGGCAACAUGGCAAAUGCCUGGAAGGAGAAGGGCGACAUCGAUCUUGCAAUUCGUUUCUAUUUAACUGCUAUUCAGCUACGCCCAAAUUUUUGUGAUGCAUGGUCAAACCUUGCAAGUGCAUAUACACGCAAAGGUAGACUGAAUGAAGCAGCACAAUGCUGUAAACAAGCGCUUCUCCUGAACCCACGUUUGGUUGAUGCACAUAGUAAUCUGGGGAAUCUAAUGAAAGCCCAGGGUCUUGUGCAAGAGGCAUAUGCUUGCUACCUUGAAGCAAUACGAAUAGAUCCACACUUUGCAAUUGCAUGGUCGAAUCUUGCCGGCCUGUUUAUGGAGGUUGGGGACCUCAAUAAGGCUAUGCAGUAUUACAAGGAAGCUGUUAAGCUUAAGCCAUCUUUUGCUGAUGCACAUCUUAAUCAAGGGAAUGUUUACAAGGCUAUGGGAAUGCUCCAGGAGGCAGUUUCUUGUUAUCAGCGUGCUUUGCAGGCACGCCCCGACUACGCCAUGGCUUACGGUAAUCUUGCCACUAUCUACUAUGAGCAACGCCAGCUUGAUAUGGCAAUUCAUUGUUACAAUCAGGCUAUACUAUGUGAUUCUCGGUUUGUGGAAGCAUACAAUAACAUGGGCAAUGCACUUAAAGAUGCUGGGAGAGUAGAAGAGGCAAUUAAUUGCUUCCAAUCGUGCCUUGUAUUACAGGCAAACCAUCCACAGGCUCUUACUAACCUAGGAAACAUCUAUAUGGAGUGGAACAUGAUAAGUACUGCUGCUUCAUUCUACAAAGCAGCAAUUGCCGUUACAUCUGGGUUGUCUUCGCCACUCAACAAUUUAGCAGUCAUAUACAAGCAACAGGGAAGCUACGCUGAUGCUAUUGCAUGUUACACCGAAGUUCUUCGUAUAGAUCCUACUGCAGCUGAUGCACUUGUUAAUAGAGGAAAUACAUUUAAGGAGUUUGGAAGAGUGGCCGAGGCAAUUCAGGAUUACAUACAGGCUGUGACAAUCAGGCCAAAUAUGGCGGAAGCCCACGCGAACUUAGCCUCAGCUUAUAAAGAUAGUGGACAUCAAGAAGCAGCUAUAGCUAGCUAUAAACAAGCUCUUUGUCUGCGUCCUGAUUUUCCAGAAGUAACGUGCAACCUUCUUCAUACUCUACAGAGUGUUUGUGACUGGGAAAACAGAGAUACUAUGUUCCGUGAAGUUGAAGAGAUAAUCAGACGGCAGAUAAAGAUGUCACUUCUGCCAAGCGUGCAGCCAUUUCAUGCUAUUGCUUAUCCUAUUGAUCCUUUGCUCGCCUUGGAAAUUAGCCGCAAAUAUGCGAUCCAGUGUUCAUUAAUUGCUUCUCGCUUUGGUUUGCCACCAUUUGUCCACCCACCCCCUUUACCAGUGAAGGCAGAGGGUAAACAUGCCCGACUCAGGGUUGGAUAUGUUAGUAGUGAUUUUGGUAAUCACCCGCUUUCCCAUCUCAUGGGUUCAGUAUUUGGUAUGCAUGACCGUGACAAUGUUGAGGUUUUUUGCUAUGCGUUGAGUCAAAAUGAUGGCACUGAAUGGAGACAGCGUAUCCAGGCUGAGGCAGAGCAUUUCAUUGAUGUGUCUGCCAUGACAUCUGAUGUGAUAGCCAAAAUGAUAAAUGAAGACAAAAUACAAGUUUUAAUCAAUCUUAAUGGCUACACAAAGGGUGCGAGGAAUGAAAUUUUCGCGAUGCAACCAGCACCUAUUCAAGUUUCGUACAUGGGGUUCCCAGGGACGACAGGUGCUUCUUACAUAGACUACUUGGUCACAGAUGAGUUUGUUUCUCCAACUCGCUAUGCACAUAUAUACUCUGAAAAGCUUGUUCAUCUCCCACAUUGCUAUUUCGUCAAUGACUACAAGCAGAAAAAUUGUGAUGUCUUAGGUCCGGUAUGUCCGCAUGAAAGAUCAGAUUAUGGGUUACCCAAGGAUAAAUUCAUCUUUGCAUGCUUUAAUCAGCUCUACAAGAUGGACCCAGAAAUAUUUGAUACAUGGUGUAAUAUUGUCAAGCGUGUUCCAAACAGUGUAUUAUGGCUCCUAAGGUUUCCAGCCACUGGUGAAAUGAGAGUAAAAGCACAUGCUGCUGCAAGGGGAGUGAGCCCUGAUCAGAUCAUUUUCACAGAUGUUGCGAUGAAACAUGAGCAUAUCCGAAGAAGUGAAUUAGCAGACCUCUUCCUUGACACGCCCCUUUGCAAUGCACACACAACUGGUACCGACAUUCUUUGGGCUGGCUUGCCAAUGAUAACACUUCCUCUAGAGAAAAUGGCAACCAGAGUAGCUGGCUCCCUUUGUUUAGCGACUGGGCUUGGGGAUGAGAUGAUUGUUAGCAGCACGAAGGAGUACGAAGACCGAGCAGUUGAAUUGGCGACAAACCCGGCAAAACUCCAAGCACUGACCAAUAAGCUUAAAGAAGUUCGUUUAACCUGUCCUUUAUUUGACACUGCUCGAUGGGUUCGGAACCUUGAUAGGGCGUACUUCAAGAUGUGGAACAUUUAUUGCUCUGGGCGUCAUCCGGAGCCGUUUAAGGUAAAAGAAGACGACAGUGAGUUCCCAUAUGACAGAUGA